GGAGCUGGGCGCUGAGGAGCCGGCGACUGCUGCAGCUGCUCGCACCAUGUCCGCGCGCAACCGGGGCUCGGAGCUGGACCUUAGCUGGAUCUCCAAAAUACAAGUGAAUCAACCCGCAGUUCUGAGGCGUGCAGAACAAAUCCAGGCUCGCAGAACCGUGAAAAAGGAGUGGCAAGCUGCUUGGCUCCUGAAAGCCGUUACCUUUAUAGAUCUUACUACACUUUCAGGCGAUGACACAUCUUCCAACAUUCAAAGGCUCUGUUAUAAAGCCAAGUAUCCAAUCCGGGAAGAUCUCUUAAAAAGUUUAAAUAUGCAUGGUAAAGGCCUUACGACGGCUGCUGUUUGUGUCUACCCCGCGCGGGUGUGUGAUGCAGUUAAAGCACUGAAGGCCUUGGGCUGUACCAUCCCAGUGGCUUCCGUGGCCACUGGCUCCCCAUCUGGACAGACUCAUUUAAAAACACGAUUGGAAGAGAUCAGAUUGGCUGUGGAAGAUGGAGCUAUGGAAAUCGAUGUGGUGAUUAACAGGACCUUGGUGCUGACCGGUCAGUGGGAAGCCCUGUAUGAUGAGAUUCGUCAGUUUCGCAAGGCCUGUGGGGAGGCUCAUCUCAAAACCAUCUUAGCAACAGGAGAACUUGGAUCUCUUACUAAUGUCUAUAAAGCCAGUAUGAUAGCAAUGAUGGCAGGAUCAGAUUUUAUUAAGGACCUCUACUGGAAAAGAAACAGUAAAUGCCACUUUCCCGGUAGCUAUAGUAAUGCUACGGGCCAUUAGAGAUUUCUUCUGGAAAACUGGAAACAAGGUAGGCUUUAAACCAGCAGGAGGCAUCCGCAGUGCCAAGGAUUCCCUUGCUUGGCUCUCUCUUGUGAAGGAAGAGCUGGGAGAUGAAUGGCUGACGCCAGAACUGUUUCGAAUAGGUGCCAGUACUCUCCUUUCGGACAUCGAGAGGCAGAUUUACCAUCACGUUACCGGAAGAUAUGCAGCCUAUCAUGAUCUUCCGAUGUCUUAAAUCAGCGACCAGUUCCAGAAAAGUGCUUUAUAGCAACAUGUAAAAUGUGUUUUUCUACGUAAUUGCUAAAAUUGUUUAAUUAAAACAUGAGGGAAUGAAUGGAUAACUGACUUUAUUUUUCCCCCUUAAAACUUUCACUGAAUUUAAUUCAAAGAAUAAAAGAAAAAAACAACUAAUCCA
Molecule: RNA transcript, 1184 nt
Organism: Odobenus rosmarus divergens (Pacific walrus)
Lineage: Eukaryota; Metazoa; Chordata; Mammalia; Carnivora; Odobenidae
Gene name: putative deoxyribose-phosphate aldolase-like
Exons: 1
Source: RefSeq, a predicted model, not a curated record